This 280-nucleotide unclassified non-coding RNA is filed under the name Hevea brasiliensis (rubber tree). The record is from RNAcentral. Lineage: Eukaryota; Viridiplantae; Streptophyta; Magnoliopsida; Malpighiales; Euphorbiaceae.
AAAACUUUGACGGGUACAUGAUAUACAUCUAAACAUUUCUCUCUUCCACUUUCUACUGUCAGCUGUAUAAAGUUUAUGUACAUGGAAAACACACACUGACCAAGCAAAAAUAUGUUACAAGGGAAGGAUAAACACUAAUUUUGACAAUAGCUUUCCCAGUUUCAGUUGAAGCACUUGUGGGAUCUUGAGAUUCUCAGCCCUGGUACAUACGAUUAAGCGUAAUUGAAUAUCCAUAAGGCUGGAAGAUCAACAUCCAUCUGCCGGAAGAUAAGUUGGUUAA